This 241-nucleotide unclassified non-coding RNA is filed under the name Acacia aphylla. RNAcentral's name for it is "partial external transcribed spacer". Lineage: Eukaryota; Viridiplantae; Streptophyta; Magnoliopsida; Fabales; Fabaceae. The record is from RNAcentral.
GCCCGUCCACCGAACGGCCGGCAGGCGAUCCGCGUCGGUCUUGCGAGGCGGUGUAUGUAUGGUUAUUUACCCGGAGGCCGGUUCUUGUGCUGCCUACCCCUUCAGGGGAAGCGCAGGCCACUCGAUGUAAGCCUCCAUCCGGCGCCUCCCAGUGGGCGCCGGAGGACAGCGGAGCACCCCCCGCGUUCCACCGAGCCCAAGCAGGUCGCGUGGCACGCGGGGACGUGCGAUGCUCUCGGGC